UACGUAGGGUGCAAGCGUUUGUCCGGAAUUAUUGGGCGUAAAGAGCUCGUAGGCGGCUUGUCGCGUCGAAUGUGAAAUCCCGAGGCUCAACCCCGAGCCUGCAGUCGAUACGGGCAGACUAGAGUGCUGUAGGGGAGACUGGAAUUCCUGGUGUAGCGGUGAAAUGCGUAGAUAUCAGGAGGAACACCUGUGGUGUAGACAGCUUACUGGACCAUUUCUGACGCUGAGACACGAAAGCGUGGGUAGCAAACAGG
Molecule: ribosomal RNA, 254 nt
Filed under: uncultured bacterium
Lineage: Bacteria
Description: partial 16S ribosomal RNA
Rfam family: Bacterial small subunit ribosomal RNA
Source: RNAcentral